AAAGUCCUGUCAUUUUGCCAGUUACAGUUGUGGCUGUAGAAGGUGUCAGCAUCUCCUGUAGAGUGGGUGAGUACUGCUAUUACAUUAGCAUGAGUAGUUGGUAGAUCUAUAUCAUUUUGACUAUUGGAGGAUGAACUAUGUGAACUGUCCUUACAGUGAUCUCCUAUGUUGUCAGAGUUGCUCGGAGGUUGUGUGGCUAAGUAAGCACACCAAAACCUGUUAGUACUAAGUCUGACCCAUCCAUGCAGCACGUUCAUUGUCUGAACAUGAGACAUUGAUUCCCUGAGUAAGUGGAUGUUGUCCUGUUACCACAGCCAUUAUACGUUUAAGAGAAAUGCCCUAGUUCACAUUGGUGUUUAUUUUUCUGGACGUGGGACUGGUGAGCACGCUUGGCCAAUAUAGACAUAGGUGUGAUAUUACAUUCGAAUCACGAUGGGUGUCUGUGAGACCCUUGUAACCAAAUACUGUUGGAGUGUGGCAGUCUAUAUAUAUAUGUUUUGUGUUUGUUCCUUUAAGAGAAUUACUCUAUCUAUUGUCUUUUGUCUUUUGUAGUAAUCAAUGUAUGAUGCUUUCAAAAACUGUAUAAAAAUCGAAGCUUGUCUUGAGAAAGAUCCGCGAAUUAGGAUCGAAACGUCGACUAAUUGAGCCGAAUAUACACUGCAAUAAAGCUGUUAUGAACAAACCAGAA
This is a long non-coding RNA of Pseudophryne corroboree (corroboree frog), 688 nucleotides long. RefSeq lists it as uncharacterized. The record is from RefSeq and is a predicted model, not a curated record. The transcript is spliced from 2 exons. NCBI's taxonomy places the organism in Eukaryota, Metazoa, Chordata, Amphibia, Anura, Myobatrachidae.